AGAACGAACGCUGGCGGCAGGCCUCAAACAUGCAAGUCUAGGGGGUGUAGCAAUACAUCACCGGCGGACGGGUGCGUAACGCGUGGGAAUGUACCUAUUGGUUCGGAACAACACAGGGAAACUUGUGCUAAUACCGAAUGUGCCCGAAAGGGGAAAGAUUUAUCGCCAAUGGAUCAGCCCGCGUUCGAUUAGCUAGUUGGUGAGGUAAUGGCUCACCAAGGCGACGAUCGAUAGCUGUUCUGAGAGGAAGAUCAGCCACACUGGGACUGAGACACGGCCCAGACUCCUACGGGAGGCAGCAGUUGGGAAUCUUGGACAAUGGGGGAAACCCUGAUCCAGCCAUGCCGCGUGAGUGAUGAAGGCCUUCGGGUUGUAAAACUCUUUCGCGCACGACGAUAAUGACGGUAGUGCGAGAAGAAGCUCCGGCUAACUUCGUGCCAGCAGCCGC
RNAcentral lists this ribosomal RNA (448 nucleotides) under uncultured bacterium. RNAcentral's name for it is "SSU rRNA". It matches the Rfam family "Bacterial small subunit ribosomal RNA", at positions 26 to 518 of the family's 1533-position model. The record is from RNAcentral.